Molecule: microRNA precursor, 94 nt
Filed under: Trichophyton rubrum BMU01672
Lineage: Eukaryota; Fungi; Ascomycota; Eurotiomycetes; Onygenales; Arthrodermataceae
Source: RNAcentral
UUGCUUGCUUUUGCCUCCUCUCUUUCUCUUCUCUUUUCUUUUUGCUUCCCAUUAUUUUAUAUGGACAGAAGAUAAGGGUGGAGAAAAGGAAAAA